Molecule: ribosomal RNA, 815 nt
Filed under: uncultured bacterium
Lineage: Bacteria
Description: bacterial SSU rRNA
Rfam family: Bacterial small subunit ribosomal RNA
Source: RNAcentral
CAAAUGGCGAAGCAAGUCCGGUCGCUGGAUAAGAGUUUGAUCCUGGCUCUUCUUGACGCUGGAGGCAGGCCUAACACAUGCAAGUCGAGCGGAUGAGUGGAGCUUGCUCCAUGAUUCAGCGGCGGACGGGUGAGUAAUGCCUAGGAAUCUGCCUGGUAGUGGGGGAUAACGUUUCGAAAGGAACGCUAAUACCGCAUACGUCCUACGGGAGAAAGUGGGGGAUCUUCGGACCUCACGCUAUCAGAUGAGCCUAGGUCGGAUUAGCUAGUUGGUGGGGUAAUGGCCCACCAAGGCGACGAUCCGUAACUGGUCUGAGAGGAUGAUCAGUCACACUGGAACUGAGACACGGUCCAGACUCCUACGGGAGGCAGCAGUGGGGAAUAUUGGACAAUGGGCGAAAGCCUGAUCCAGCCAUGCCGCGUGUGUGAAGAAGGUCUUCGGAUUGUAAAGCACUUUAAGUUGGGAGGAAGGGCAGUAAGUUAAUACCUUGCUGUUUUGACGUUACCAACAGAAUAAGCACCGGCUAACUUCGUGCCACAGCCGCGGUAAUACGAAGGGUGCAAGCGUUAAUCGGAAUUACUGGGCGUAAAGCGCGCGUAGGUGGUUCAACAAGUUGGAUGUGAAAGCCCCGGGCUCAACCUGGGAAUUGCAUCCAAAACUACUGACUAAGUACGGAAAGGGUGGGGGAAUUUCCUGUGUAGCGGUAAAUGCGAAAAUAGGAGGACCCCAUUGGCGAAGCGACCCCUGGACUGAUCUGACCUGAGUGCGAAGCGUGGGAGAAACAGAUUAAUACCCUGGGUAUCCCGCGUAACAAG